This 299-nucleotide unclassified non-coding RNA is filed under the name Glomus sp. Its description in RNAcentral is "partial contains 5.8S ribosomal RNA, internal transcribed spacer 2, and large subunit ribosomal RNA". The stretch from base 1 to 71 matches the Rfam family "5.8S ribosomal RNA", at positions 84 to 154 of the family's 154-position model. Lineage: Eukaryota; Fungi; Glomeromycota; Glomeromycetes; Glomerales; Glomeraceae. The record is from RNAcentral.
GUGAAUCAUCGAAUCUUUGAACGCAAAUUGCACUUUCUGGUAUGCCGGAGAGUAUGCCAGUUUGAGGGUCAGUUAAAUUAAAAUCGGUGUUGUUGCUAGGCGUAGUGGUGUGUGAUGCGGCGGAAUUGAGUCGUUCUUUACCUUUGGUGUAAGUGACUUAAAAUUAUGUUCGAUUUUUGAACGUAUUUAAAUUAUUACUUACGUUCGUAAGAGCACAGAUUAGGUUCGGUCAUGCACAUGAUUUCGCGUCUAUAAUUUUUCAUUAUUUUACCUCAAAUCAGGUAGGAAUACCCGCUGAA